AGAGUUUGAUCCUGGCUCAGAUUGAACGCUGGCGGCAGGCCUAACACAUGCAAGUCGAGCGGUAACAGAAAGUAGCUUGCUACUUUGCUGACGAGCGGCGGACGGGUGAGUAAUGCUUGGGAACAUGCCUUGAGGUGGGGGACAACAGUUGGAAACGACUGCUAAUACCGCAUAAUGUCUACGGACCAAAGGGGGCUUCGGCUCUCGCCUUUAGAUUGGCCCAAGUGGGAUUAGCUAGUUGGUGAGGUAAUGGCUCACCAAGGCGACGAUCCCUAGCUGGUUUGAGAGGAUGAUCAGCCACACUGGGACUGAGACACGGCCCAGACUCCUACGGGAGGCAGCAGUGGGGAAUAUUGCACAAUGGGCGCAAGCCUGAUGCAGCCAUGCCGCGUGUGUGAAGAAGGCCUUCGGGUUGUAAAGCACUUUCAGUCAGGAGGAAAGGUUAGUGGUUAAUACCCGUCAUGUGUGACGUUACUGACAGAAGAAGCACCGGCUAACUCCGUGCCAGCAGCCGCGGUAAUACG
Molecule: ribosomal RNA, 524 nt
Filed under: marine bacterium XIL32
Lineage: Bacteria
Description: bacterial SSU rRNA
Rfam family: Bacterial small subunit ribosomal RNA
Source: RNAcentral